This is a non-coding RNA of Podarcis lilfordi (Lilford's wall lizard), 75 nucleotides long. NCBI's taxonomy places the organism in Eukaryota, Metazoa, Chordata, Lepidosauria, Squamata, Lacertidae. The record is from the annotation of a GenBank genome assembly.
UUGUCCAUGGCUCAGCCAGUAGAGCACGAGACUCUUAAUCUCAGGGUCAAGAGUUCAAGCUCCACAUUGGGCAAA